This 199-nucleotide ribosomal RNA is filed under the name uncultured bacterium. RNAcentral describes it as "partial 16S ribosomal RNA". It matches the Rfam family "Bacterial small subunit ribosomal RNA", at positions 1294 to 1500 of the family's 1533-position model. The record is from RNAcentral.
CGGAUUGGAGUCUGNAACCCGACUCCAUGAAGCUGGAUUCGCUAGUAAUCGCGCAUCAGCCACGGCGCGGUGAAUACGUUCCCGGGCCUUGUACACACCGCCCGUCAAGCCAUGGAAGCCGGGGGUGCCUGAAGUGCGCUGCCGCAAGGAGCGUCCUAGGGUAAAACCGGUGACUGGGGCUAAGUCGUAACAAGGUAAC